AUCCUUUUGCAGUUCAUAAUUGUGAUAACUGGGAGUUCAUGCGCAUGUGUGAGAUGUGCCUCCCUCAAACUUUGUUUCGACGUCAGCACAUUACCUGAUGUGAAA
RNAcentral lists this small nucleolar RNA (105 nucleotides) under Eulemur macaco macaco. RNAcentral's name for it is "Small nucleolar RNA U13". It matches the Rfam family "Small nucleolar RNA U13". The record is from Rfam by way of RNAcentral. Lineage: Eukaryota; Metazoa; Chordata; Mammalia; Primates; Lemuridae.